AAGGUAGCGUGAUAAUUCGCCCUUUAAUUGUGGGCUUGUACGAAUGGGUUAACGAGGGUUUAGCUGUCUCCUCUUUAUAAUUAGAAAUUAAUUUUUAGGUGAAAAGGCCUAGCUAAAACCACAGGACAAAAAGACCCCAUAGAGCUUUGUUUUAUUAAAAUUUUUUGAGUAAAUUAUUAAUAUUAUUUGCCCUGUUUUAUAAGACUUAACUGGGGCGGUUGUGGAAAAUUUAUAUCUUCCUUUAUAUUUUUCGCUCUUUAAGCUUGUUGUAAGGAUCCUAAAUUUAGAUUAAAGAAAAGCUACCUUGGGGGUAACAGACUAAUUUUUUUUGAGAGUUCGUAUUGACAAAAAAGUUUGGCACAUCGAUGUUGGCUUAGGGUAACCGUAAGAUAGUAGCAGUCUUUUUGGUGGGUUUGUUCAACCUUUAAAUCCCUACGUGAUCUGAGUUCAGACCGG
Molecule: ribosomal RNA, 456 nt
Filed under: Ampharetidae sp. 1 LMG-2016
Lineage: Eukaryota; Metazoa; Annelida; Polychaeta; Terebellida; Ampharetidae
Description: partial 16S ribosomal RNA
Rfam family: Bacterial large subunit ribosomal RNA
Source: RNAcentral